GCCGGGGUGGCGAAACUGGUAGACGCAUCAGACUCAAAAUCUGACGGUAGUAAUACCGUGCCGGUUCAAAUCCGGCCCUCGGUACCA
Molecule: transfer RNA, 87 nt
Filed under: Chromatiales bacterium
Lineage: Bacteria; Pseudomonadati; Pseudomonadota; Gammaproteobacteria; Chromatiales
Also listed under: 1 other name
Description: tRNA-Leu
Rfam family: tRNA
About the family: Transfer RNA (tRNA) molecules are approximately 80 nucleotides in length. Their secondary structure includes four short double-helical elements and three loops (D, anti-codon, and T loops).
Source: RNAcentral